This 1537-nucleotide long non-coding RNA is filed under the name Felis catus (domestic cat). Its description in RNAcentral is "lncRNA (ENSFCAG00000051819.1)". The record is from RNAcentral. Lineage: Eukaryota; Metazoa; Chordata; Mammalia; Carnivora; Felidae.
GGGGACAAUCCUCGCUUGCAGACGCUGCCUUCUGGCGUGACCUCAGGAGACCCGAUGCCCAUCUGAAGACAAACAUGGUUCCUGCUGGAUCCCUUCCUUUUCCAGAAUUUCCUUCAUCUCUCAGAGGCUCGUUUGCCCUGCCUGCCGUGGAGGGACAGGCCGACAUUCAGAAGCUCAACCACCCCAGUCCCUCUCUUACACUGAUGGAUGGGGUGGCCCUCCUGGGAGUCACUCUCAGGCCAACAUUGAUGGCAAGGCAGCCGGAGGUCCUGAUUCCAGAAAUGCCCAAACUUCUUAUUAAAAGAUCCUUGAUUAGGCAGUGAGCUACUGGUGUGCUACAGAUACCAGUUCACAAGAUCCAACCGUUAAAUUUUCAAGAGUUUUGCCAGCUGGUUGUUGAACAGAAUCAUUAUUAAAAAUGAAAUUAUGGGGCACCUGGGGGGCCCAGACGUUUAAGCAUCUGACUUCAGCUCGGGUCAUGAUCUCCCAGUUCGUGAGUUCAAGCCCCUCAUCAGGCUCUGUGCUGACAGCUCAGAGCCCACUUCAGAUCCUCUGUCUCCCUCUCUCUCUGCUCCUCCCCUACUCACGUUCUCUCUCUCUCUCAAAGAUAAAUCAACAUUUUUAAGAAAUGAAAUUAUGUAGGGCACAUGGUGGCUCAGUCAGUGAAAUGACUCUUGAUUUUGGCUCAGGUCGUGAUCUCGCGGUUUGCUUAGGGGGUCGAGCCCCACAACAGGCUGGGCACUGACAGCGCAGAGCCUGCCUGGGGUUCUCUCCCUCUCACUUGUGCUCUCUCUCUCAAAAAUAGAUAAACACUUUGAAAAAGUUAAAUUAGGUUAUAAAAUUACACGCACCGUGCUCCGGAGGCUGCGAAUGCCUGUUACGUGGUGGAAAUACUACCGGAUGGCAGCUGUUUGCACGUCUUCCCACCGUGGAACGUUUGCGCCGUGGAAAUUGGCAAACGCUACACACUCCCCCGUUUCAUUUCCAGCGGGAUGUCAGGCACUUACCAGCACACGGGUGCUGUGAAGCUCAGUCUGAAAGCCCCCCCUCCCCCCACCGCUAGCUGGCUUCCUCCCCUCCCAUUCCACCUCGUGCUUGAUGGUGAAGAGACUUAAGGAAGGUUGCAGGAGUGGCUGGGCCAGGACCAACGAGUGUCCGAGCAGGAGGGGUGCCCUCUCUGUUCACUCUAGGUCCAGUGCUGUACCCGAAAGUCCUGCCUCUCCUCUGUCCCCCCACAUUGCAGGUGAGGGUGCCGGCAUGCAGCUGGGCUGUGAGGCUCUGGGGCUGGAAGCGGAAACUUCUCCCAUCCAGGGCUGAUCGCCCCUCUGGAGCUGAGGGCGUGGAGGGUGGGGAGUAGGUCCCAGGACCCGCAGGCAGCCAGACACUGGUCUUCUUGCUUAGGCAGCUGGCGCUCAGCCCAGGGUGGGGUUCUGGGCCCGGGGGGCAGUUGUGGGGACUCAGCACCCAGCUCUCCCAGACCUGGUGGGUGAAAACAUCUAAGUUCAGUUUGCAGCAAUAAACAGAACAUUAAUCUGCA